AAGGAGGUGAUCCANCCGCACCUUCCGAUACGGCUACCUUGUUACAACUUCACCCCAGUCGCUAACUUCACCUUCGACGGCUAUCUCCUUUCGGUUAAUUCACCGGCUUCGGGUGCUUCUAACUCCCAUGGUGUGACGGGCGGUGUGUACAAGGCCCGGGAACNUAUUCACCGCGACAUGCUGAUUCGCNAUUACUAGCAACUCCAUCUUCAUGCAGGCGGGUUUCANCCUCCAAUCCGAACUGAGGGUGCUUUUUAAAGUUUNGCUCGCUGUCUCCAGCUCGCUUCCCGUUGUUACACCCAUUGUAGCACGUGUGUAGCCCAAANAUANGGAAUAUUGACNUCANCCCCNCUUCCUCCGAAUUGUCUCCGGAAUCUCACUAAAUCCCACUUAAUGAUGCAAUAACAAUAGGGUUGCNCCCUUGCGGAAUUAACCCACNUCUCNCAANCNAACUGAAAAAACCCUGCCCCCCUGUNUAUCUNUCCNAANGANUCNCCCCNUUANGAAUAUUCAAANAAUUNAAUUCUGGUAG
Molecule: ribosomal RNA, 532 nt
Filed under: unidentified Clostridiaceae pDH-I
Lineage: Bacteria; Bacillati; Bacillota; Clostridia; Eubacteriales
Description: partial 16S ribosomal RNA
Source: RNAcentral